This 373-nucleotide long non-coding RNA is filed under the name Gallus gallus (chicken). RNAcentral describes it as "lncRNA (ENSGALG00010008950.1)". The record is from RNAcentral. Lineage: Eukaryota; Metazoa; Chordata; Aves; Galliformes; Phasianidae.
CAGCAAGCUACUGGAACAUUUGUCUCUCAGAAAGUUUAAAACAAAUGAUCUGAGUGUUAUUAACGUAUGAAGACAUAUGGCUUAUGGGAAGGAAAUUAUCCUGGGGUAUAAAUCCUGUACCUCUCUGCAACGUUUGGAAUACUUUAUCUGGCACAGCUUCUUAUGACCAACCUCCACCUUCAUAUAUACAAGCACAGGUCCCAGUGAAGUCAAUGGAGUUGCACUUGCUUAUUUGAGAAGAGGUUUGAGGCCUUUCACCUUAAUACAACCAAGAAAUGCUUACAAGUGAAGUCACAUCUCAUAUCUGAUUAGCUGAAUUGUAAAUAUGAAAGAUAACUGGCUUGGAAUUAGGUAUCAGGAACUAAGAGUGCCC